This 591-nucleotide ribosomal RNA is filed under the name Fomitopsis quercina. RNAcentral describes it as "eukaryotic LSU rRNA". It matches the Rfam family "Eukaryotic large subunit ribosomal RNA", at positions 52 to 626 of the family's 3401-position model. Lineage: Eukaryota; Fungi; Basidiomycota; Agaricomycetes; Polyporales; Fomitopsidaceae. The record is from RNAcentral.
GGAGGAAAAGAAACUAACAAGGAYUCCCCUAGUAACUGCGAGUGAAGCGGGAAAAGCUCAAAUUUAAAAUCUGGCGGUCUUUGGUCGUCCGAGUUGUAGUCUGGAGAAGUGUUUUCCGUGCUGGACCGUGUACAAGUCUCUUGGAACAGAGCGUCAUAGAGGGUGAGAAUCCCGUCUUUGACACGGACUACCAGUGCUUUGUGAUGCGCUCUCAAAGAGUCGAGUUGUUUGGGAAUGCAGCUCAAAAUGGGUGGUAAAUUCCAUCUAAAGCUAAAUAUUGGCGAGAGACCGAUAGCGAACAAGUACCGUGAGGGAAAGAUGAAAAGCACUUUGGAAAGAGAGUUAAACAGUACGUGAAAUUGCUGAAAGGGAAACGCUUGAAGUCAGUCGCGUUGAUCAGAACUCAGCCUUGCUUUUGCUUGGUGCAUUUUCUGGUUGACGGGCCAGCAUCGAUUUUGACCAUCGGAAAAAGGCCAGGGGAAUGUGGCACCUUCGGGUGUGUUAUAGCCCUUGGUCACAUACGGUGGUUGGGAUCGAGGACCGCAGCACGCCUUUAUGGCCGGGGUUCGCCCACGUUCGUGCUUAGGAUGC